RNAcentral lists this ribosomal RNA (119 nucleotides) under Helobdella robusta. Lineage: Eukaryota; Metazoa; Annelida; Clitellata; Rhynchobdellida; Glossiphoniidae. The record is from RNAcentral.
GUCUACGGCCAUAUCACGUUGAAAACACCACUUCUCGUCCGAUCACCGAAGUUAAGCAACGUCGAGCCCGGUUAGUACUUGGAUGGGUGACCGCCUGGGAAUACCGGGUGCUGUAGGCU